UACGUAGGGUGCAAGCGUUAAUCGGAAUUACUGGGCGUAAAGCGUGCGCAGGCGGCUUUGCAAGACAGAUGUGAAAUCCCCGGGCUUAACCUGGGAACUGCAUUUGUGACUGCAUGGCUAGAGUGCGGCAGAGGGGGAUGGAAUUCCACGUGUAGCAGUGAAAUGCGUAGAGAUGUGGAGGAAUACCGAUGGCGAAGGCAGCCUCCUGGGCCAACACUGACGCUCAUGCACGAAAGCGUGGGGAGCAAACAGG
RNAcentral lists this ribosomal RNA (253 nucleotides) under uncultured bacterium. Its description in RNAcentral is "partial 16S ribosomal RNA". It matches the Rfam family "Bacterial small subunit ribosomal RNA", at positions 524 to 776 of the family's 1533-position model. The record is from RNAcentral.